UGCAUUGCUACAUGUGCACGACAGGAUCAGACUAAGGACAAUCUGGGUGCUCUUCGCAGUCUUUGUAAUGGAAGGUGUGGAGGCAGGGAUGUGGCUGAGACGUACUGUAGACUGGGUCUAACCAGGAAGCAGAUCGCCUUGGGGAAUAAAGUCAAUCAAUUAGCUGGUGUGUGUAACUCUUCAGUUUAUACUGUCAUAGAGCAUAAGAAUGGUUUAUACUGUAAGUUGUAAAGAAACAGUAAAGGAUGUUCAUAUUAAUACUAACUGAUGUCUAAACCAUUACAUUAACAAACUCUUAUAAACCUUCUAUAGAAGGUGCCAUGUUAGAAAGCAGCUGUAUGAGUGAAUGGAAUUACUACUGUAUAAAAGGUGAAGUAAUGGUGGAGAGAUCUCAGUAAUAUAAAGCCCUCCAGGCUCAGUGUUAAUGGUACAUCAGUAAAAUGAGGAGUCAAGACACUUAUCUGCUACAUGAUAUUUGCGAAAAUGCAGAGCAAAUACAUUAAACAUUAGAAGGGUCUGUAAAAGGCCAGAUAGGCUGUUAAAAAAAUUAUGCCAAUGAGCUAAAAUCCACUUACUGAAGGUAAUAGUAAUGACGGGCUAUUUGAGCACUUAGCAUGAAUUAAUACCACUGACAGGCGUGUUUUUAACAGUGACCUUGUGGCCUCUCGAUCCCAUUUGCAGGUUGUUUAAAAGCUGUGGCUUGAACAAUUUAUGAGUUAAUUACACAGGAAUCAGUAUUCAGCCUCUUCACCCCCAGUACAAACCAUACUGGCCUCUUAUAUGCACUAAGUCAGUAUAUGUCAGCAUAACAAUACUGAGUGCUGUCAAAAAAUUCAGCUGCUAAAAUGUGUCCAGACUCUGUGUGGUUGACUGUGCAAUAUAUAUUUGUAUGUGUUUGCCAGUAGGUGCUCCUUUAUCGGUGACCUGUUAAAGCUCAAUGGAUAAACUGCUGCUCAGCACAGACAUGCCUAGACUCUGGAUCUUGGCACUGAAAAUGAACAGCAACUGGGAAAACAGAACAAAUUAACCAGCCCCAGCCCUUAAAUAAAGUGAAACUGGGCCUUGUUUUGACCUUCCGUUGCCAUAGCAGCAUCUCCCAGGAAGUUGUUCUUAGAGCUGGACAUACAAUGGUGGACAAAUAAGGUGAUGCCUUCUGAGAAGACAAAUUGUCUAUCUGCUCUUAUUGUGUAUAUCAGAGAUUAGAAUGGGAGAGUGCUGCAUAGAGGGAGGAGGUACGUAGGGAAAUGUGUGUGUGAUGUGUGCCCGUCAACGUGCAUGGGAGUUCUUGUCCUCAGUAGGACAUUUAAUGUCUAUAUAUGCAUUUUUAUACAAAAGACUUUUAGUGUGCCUGUAAUUACAUCCAGAUUACACCAACUUGUCCAGAGGUUCAAGUCCUUUAAUUAAAAAACUCCCAUUUUUAUUCUUCAGCAUUGUUAUGAUUUAUGAGCCACAAGUUUAAUAUUCCAUACAACACUGUUUUAAGCCCAAGGCUGGAGUAGAACAAGCUUUGCCCUGUAGGUUGAAAUGAAGUCAGCGUUAUCAGGUACCCACUGUUUUCAUUGUUGUUUGUUUGAUUUAUGUUUGUUGCAGUUUUACAAACCUAUAAAGUUUAAAAGGAAAAAUGAAAAAUGCAAAUGAAAGCUUUUCCAACAAAUGAGCCAUUUACGCGAGCACUGUAGAGUAUUUCCCUUAGUUUGGUAACAAUAGGAAUAUUUCUGACAUUUUAUCCCUCAUGAUUUCUGCCUGUACCCUGCACAACUCUCUUUUUUCCUCUUCUCUUUCCAUCAUCCCCUCUUCAACUUUAAUGCAGUUAAGGCAAGGUUGAGGAGGGCAUGUCUCUGUUAUUUUUUCCGCAAGUCAGUGCAUUUUGUUCCUAACGAAACAUCAAUUAUAGCCCUUCACUGUGAGGGCCGUGAGGGUGUGCCUGUGUGCAGCAUGGUGGUUAUUAAGAAGCCAGGGCAGCUUCAUAAACAAGCUGUUGUACUGAGAGAACUAAGUAUGCGAUGUUUUUAUUCUAGAACAGGCUUGUUUUUGUUGUGACGGAAGGUGGGUUGUUAAGCUGAUCAUUAGUUUAACAUUCUGUGAGCCAUAGGCUGACCGAAGUUUUAAAGUUUGGACUGUUGCCCACAUCAGCUGCUGCAAGAGCAGCCAUUUUGACUGCAUACACAGUACGCAGGCAAUUUUCCAGGCAAUUAUCUGUUGUAUAUUUUCGAACUUUGGGCAGAGCACCUGUUUCCUAUUGCUUUCAAUCUUUGUGCUAAGCUAAGCUACAUAGCUCCUGUCUCCAGCCCCCUACUUAAGGCACAGUUAUAAAGUUGUGUAAAUCAUGUCGUCUAACACUGGGCGAUAACACAAGUGUAUGCCCCGACAUUUCAAACUACACCUUUAAUGUAACCUAUUCUUUAUGCUACCUUAACUAACUUUGCUUUGCCUUUUAGGCUGUUGAACUCUCACUGAUGAGAUCUUACUGACAUCUGCUGCUUCAUAUUCCUUUGUGCUUCCAUGGAGAUCAUCAAGGCCACCCAAGUUUCCUUGCUCCCUCAGGAAGCCCCUACAGCUACCUGGAGCAAUGACACUGUCCCC
This is a long non-coding RNA of Monopterus albus (swamp eel), 2583 nucleotides long. RefSeq lists it as uncharacterized. Lineage: Eukaryota; Metazoa; Chordata; Actinopteri; Synbranchiformes; Synbranchidae. The record is from RefSeq and is a predicted model, not a curated record. The transcript has 3 exons.